AGUUAAAACGCCCGUAGUAAACCUAAGAGUGUUUGCGGGGUAACUAGUUCCAUCAGGAGAUGGUUGGAGGGAGCUUAUAACUCCCUUUUGCCUACUCUUGGUGAACUUUAGCUGGGCAGGACUUCUGGUCCUCGUCUGGCAGUUGCCUCGUAUUCACUCGUCCACGGUUCAUCCGUGAGGCCCCUUUGGGUUGCAACUGUAAAUAAAUCGUUGUGCUUAAAGCGGGCUAUGAUACUCUGCCAGAGCGAUUUAGCAUGGGACUGCAGAGUAGCUGUAUUUGAGCGAAGGUUGGACUUCGGUUUGACUGUAGCUUGGUACAGCGCUUGUAAUGGAGCUCAGGGUGAGGCCCCGGGUACCAUGAGGCUAGAGGUGAAAUUCUGAGACCCUCAUGUGACCAACUAAGGCGAAAGCUGUCGUGGGCCACCACAAGCUCGUCUAUCAGGGACGAAAGUUGGGUUAUCGAAGACGAUUAGAUACCGUCGUAGUCCCAACUAUAAACGAUACCAACCGAGUAUUUGGGAAGACACUAUCCCAGCGAUCUUCUCAGAACUCAAGGGAAACCUUAAGUCUUUGGGUUCUGGGGGGAGUAUAGUCGCAAGACCGAAACUUAAAGGAAUUGACGGAAAGGCACCACCAG
RNAcentral lists this ribosomal RNA (637 nucleotides) under Naegleria sp. E1. RNAcentral's name for it is "SSU rRNA". It matches the Rfam family "Eukaryotic small subunit ribosomal RNA", at positions 617 to 1173 of the family's 1831-position model. Lineage: Eukaryota; Heterolobosea; Eutetramitea; Acrasida; Naegleriidae. The record is from RNAcentral.